GCAUUGGCCCUGGAUAUUGCUACCCACGUACGGCUCCGACCCCGCCCGGAGCUCAUCCUGCAGCCACUGCGUGGCCCUGGAUAUUGCUACCCACGUACGGCUCCGACCCCGCCCGGAGCUCAUCCUGCAGCCACUGCGUGGCCCUGGAUAUUGCUACCCACGUACGGCUCCGACCCCGCCCGGAGCUCAUCCUGCAGCCACUGCGUGGCCCUGGAUAUUGCUACCCACGUACGGCUCCGACCCCGCCCGGAGCUCAUCCUGCAGCCACUGCAUGGCCCUGGAUAUUGCUACCCACGUACGGCUCCGACCCCGCCCGGAGCUCAUCCUGCAGCCACUGCGUGGCCCUGGAUAUUGCUACCCACGUACGGCUCCGACCCCGCCCGGAGCUCAUCCUGCAGCCACUGCGUGGCCCUGGAUAUUGCUACCCACGUACGGCUCCGACCCCGCCCGGAGCUCAUCCUGCAGCCACUGCGUGGCCCUGGAUAUUGCUACCCACGUACGGCUCCGACCCCGCCCGGAGCUCAUCCUGCAGCCACUGCAUGGCCCUGGAUAUUGCUACCCACGUACGGCUCCGACCCCGCCCGGAGCUCAUCCUGCAGCCACUGCGUGGCCCUGGAUAUUGCUACCCACGUACGGCUCCGACCCCGCCCGGAGCUCAUCCUGCAGCCACUGCGUGGCCCUGGAUAUUGCUACCCACGUACGGCUCCGACCCCGCCCGGAGCUCAUCCUGCAGCCACUGCGUGGCCCUGGAUAUUGCUACCCACGUACGGCUCCGACCCCGCCCGGAGCUCAUCCUGCAGCCACUGCAUGGCCCUGGAUAUUGCUACCCACGUACGGCUCCGACCCCGCCCGGAGCUCAUCCUGCAGCCACUGCGUGGCCCUGGAUAUUGCUACCCACGUACGGCUCCGACCCCGCCCGGAGCUCAUCCUGCAGCCACUGCGUGGCCCUGGAUAUUGCUACCCACGUACGGCUCCGACCCCGCCCGGAGCUCAUCCUGCAGCCACUGCGUGGCCCUGGAUAUUGCUACCCACGUACGGCUCCGACCCCGCCCGGAGCUCAUCCUGCAGCCACUGCAUGGCCCUGGAUAUUGCUACCCACGUACGGCUCCGACCCCGCCCGGAGCUCAUCCUGCAGCCACUGCGUGGCCCUGGAUAUUGCUACCCACGUACGGCUCCGACCCCGCCCGGAGCUCAUCCUGCAGCCACUGCGUGGCCCUGGAUAUUGCUACCCACGUACGGCUCCGACCCCGCCCGGAGCUCAUCCUGCAGCCACUGCGUGGCCCUGGAUAUUGCUACCCACGUACGGCUCCGACCCCGCCCGGAGCUCAUCCUGCAGCCACUGCAUGGCCCUGGAUAUUGCUACCCACGUACGGCUCCGACCCCGCCCGGAGCUCAUCCUGCAGCCACUGCAUCGGCCCUGGAUAUUGCUACCCACGUACGGCUCCGACCCCGCCCGGAGCUCAUCCUGCAGCCACUGCAUCGGCCCUGGAUAUUGCUACCCACGUACGGCUCCGACCCCGCCUGGAACCAAGCUGAGUUUUGCCCUGAAUGUCGCGCGGAGCAGGCGCCACGGGAUACUCAUGAAUUGUGAGACAAACUGUUUCCCUUUGUUACUUUGCACCGGUUGCCCUCACGUUUCUGUCCCUGCCUGGGGUCUAGGAGAGCAGAAGUCCCCAGUGACGUUCUCAAGCUCGGUGCUUUACUGGUGACCCCUUUCCCGCAGCAGGUCACCAAGUGCCACGCCCGCAUGAUAAAGCACCUGUUUGCAUUUAACACUGUUCUAAAUGCUGGGAGCCACGCCGGGCUGGCAGCUCACCACCACCACAUAAAACCACCCGAGGGGUUCUGAUCCCCCGUUUGGGACUCCCCUCGACAGGGGCGGAUGAGAGCGCCGCAGAGCCCCGGGCAGCGAAAUUUCACAGGGCCCGUCCUUUGACACGGCACAUGC
Molecule: non-coding RNA, 1948 nt
Organism: Pelodiscus sinensis (Chinese soft-shelled turtle)
Lineage: Eukaryota; Metazoa; Chordata; Testudines; Trionychidae
Source: RefSeq, a predicted model, not a curated record